This 484-nucleotide ribosomal RNA is filed under the name uncultured bacterium. RNAcentral describes it as "partial 16S ribosomal RNA". It matches the Rfam family "Bacterial small subunit ribosomal RNA", at positions 28 to 523 of the family's 1533-position model. The record is from RNAcentral.
GAUGAACGCUGGCGGCGUGCUUAACACAUGCAAGUCGAACGGUGAAGCAGGAGCUUGCUCUUGUGGAUCAGUGGCGAACGGGUGAGUAACACGUGAGCAACCUGCCCCUGACUCUGGAAUAAGCGCUGGAAACGGCGUCUAAUACUGGAUAUGUGAUGCGACCGCAUGGUCUGCAUCUGGAAAGAAUUUCGGUUGGGGAUGGGCUCGCGGCCUAUCAGCUUGUUGGUGAGGUAAUGGCUCACCAAGGCGUCGACGGUUAGCCGGCCUGAGAGGGUGACCGGCCACACUGGGACUGAGACACGGCCCAGACUCCUACGGGAGGCAGCAGUGGGGAAUAUUGCACAAUGGGCGGAAGCCUGAUGCAGCAACGCCGCGUGAGGGAUGACGGCCUUCGGGUUGUAAACCUCUUUUAGCAGGGAAGAAGCGAAAGUGACGGUACCUGCAGAAAAAGCACCGGCUAACUACGUGCCAGCCGCCGCAGUAA